RNAcentral lists this long non-coding RNA (832 nucleotides) under Gallus gallus (chicken). The record is from RNAcentral. Lineage: Eukaryota; Metazoa; Chordata; Aves; Galliformes; Phasianidae.
GUGCUCUUUGCUCCAGCAGUUGCAGUCACAGGGGAGGUGGCCGUUGUCCGAGGAGUGGCAGUGGUGCUCCUGGCAGCAGCACGAGGAGCAGAUGAUGGAGGCUUUGAGAGUGAGGUCCUCUUAUCCGGGCUCUUUGCAUCCGUGACCUUUGGCUUAAUCUCUUUUGGAGUGAGGGUGGAGGGCCGCGUGGCGCUGCUGGCCGGGCGCUUGGGAGUGGUGGUGGCAGGAGGGCCCGCCGUGGGGCUGGUGGGCUUUUUGUGAGUGCCAGGAGUGGCAGAGGCCGGCCGCUUGGGGCUGGUGGCGGCCGCGGGCCUGGCUUUCGUUGCUGUGGGCUUUGCUGAUGGUGUGGAUGCUGCAGGCUUUGUCUUCUUCUCGGGGCUCGGGGGCAGCUCCUUGUUGGGGGGUGCUGUGAUGUCAUUCCCUGUCACGGCGUCGGCUGCUUUGGGCUCCUCUGGUUUUGCUGCAGGCUCUUGCAGGGGUGCUCCUUGCAGGGGCUCUGUGUGCUGGAUGUGGUUCUGCUCAGUCUCCUCCUUCCGUUGCUCCACUGCAGGGACAUCCACAGCCGCAACGCGCUGCUCUGAGAGGAGCUCUUUGUUUUCUAGCACUGUGUCUUCUUUUGUUUCUACUGGAACUGCGGGUUCUGGGAGGUGGUUGGUUGGUGCUGGAAGGUGCUCAGCGUGGUGGCUGGCAGAUGGUUUCUCUAACGAAACAGCAACGUAACCCUCGGGGGCUUUUGGUUCUUGUUCCAUGCUUGCAGCUGUUUCUGCAGGAGCUUCAUGGGAGGGGGUCUUGUCAUGCUGAGCAGAGGGCUCGGAUGUCACCAGCUCUUCCA